This is a long non-coding RNA of Drosophila erecta, 811 nucleotides long. RefSeq lists it as uncharacterized. The record is from RefSeq and is a predicted model, not a curated record. The transcript is spliced from 3 exons. NCBI's taxonomy places the organism in Eukaryota, Metazoa, Arthropoda, Insecta, Diptera, Drosophilidae.
CUCGGCAAACGCAGCGACAUGAUGCGGGACAAAUGCCUGAAUAUAGAUACAUCCAAUGGAUGUGUCUCUGAUGAGCAAAUGCAAUUAUGUGGCAGGGCAAUGGGAGCUGGGUGGAGUUGAGGCUGCUGGGUAAUGAAUAGAGCCACGAAAUAGAGCAACUCCUUCGAGUUCCCUCUCGACGGUCCUGCUCUGCAUCUGUGUGUUUGCAUGUGGAAAACCACACUGAUGACAGACAAGCCACGGCAGAGAAAGCCAAAGGAUAACAUGAGAUAACACACAUCAAAAGCCACUCAGACACCCACACACGUACAGCAGGGGCUGGGAAUAUAGGACGGGUUUUGAGAGUGCUAUCUUUUUGGAGUGUCCUGUGGAUGCACGCAUAUGUGCGCCCAACCCAGCUGCUCGUGAUCCUUUGGGCGACGAGAAAUCAGCGCUCAAAUAUGAUUAAUAAGUAAUUUCUUUGUCAACAAGUGACUGGGGAUGGCCUGCAAUGACGACAACGGCGAUAACGACAACGAGAACGGAACGACGCCCUGGAAAUCUUUAAUAAAAUACAUGCAUAAAUAAAUUAUAGGGCAAACAGAGGAAGCAGGCGAGGAAAACAAACUGGGUGGACAUGAACUGCUCUGAAUGGAGGCGAACUGCUCCAUUUGUUGACGUCACACGCACAGAGCACGUGUGUGUGUGUGUGUGUGUGUGGGCACACGCUGACUCUGAGAUAGCAGGGCAUAUUGACUGGCUGGAACGGAAGGCCGCCAUAGUCAGGUGCUCAAAUUUCUGAAUUCUAUUUGAAAUAAAAUACCUUUAAUCU